This 24-nucleotide non-coding RNA is filed under the name Arabidopsis thaliana (thale cress). The record is from RNAcentral. Lineage: Eukaryota; Viridiplantae; Streptophyta; Magnoliopsida; Brassicales; Brassicaceae.
AACAGAUUUUAGUUACCAUCGGAC